UACGGAGGAUGCAAGCGUUAUCCGGAUUUAUUGGGUUUAAAGGGUGCGCAGGUUGUUUGAUAAGUCAGUGGUGAAAGUCUGUCGCUUAACGGUAGGAUUGCCAUUGAUACUGCUAGACUUGAAUAUGGAUGAGGUAGGCGGAAUGUGUAGUGUAGCGGUGAAAUGCAUAGAUAUUACACAGAACACCGAUUGCGAAGGCAGCUUACUAAUCCAUCAUUGACGCUGAGGCACGAAAGCGUGGGGAUCAAA
This 249-nucleotide ribosomal RNA is filed under the name uncultured prokaryote. Its description in RNAcentral is "partial 16S ribosomal RNA". It matches the Rfam family "Bacterial small subunit ribosomal RNA", at positions 524 to 772 of the family's 1533-position model. The record is from RNAcentral.